GACGAACGCUGGCGGCGUGCUUAACACAUGCAAGUCGAACGGAAAGGCCCUUCGGGGUACUCGAGUGGCGAACGGGUGAGUAACACGUGGGUGAUCUGCCCUGCACUUUGGGAUAAGUCUGGGAAACUGGGUCUAAUACCGGAUAGGACCACGCGCUUCAUGGUGUGUGGUGGAAAGCUUUUGCGGUGUGGGAUGGGCCCGCGGCCUAUCAGCUUGUUGGUGGGGUAAUGGCCUACCAAGGCGACGACGGGUAGCCGGCCUGAGAGGGUGACCGGCCACACUGGGACUGAGAUACGGCCCAGACUCCUACGGGAGGCAGCAGUGGGGAAUAUUGCACAAUGGGCGCAAGCCUGAUGCAGCGACGCCGCGUAAGGGAUGACGGCCUUCGGGUUGUAAACCUCUUUCGCCAGGGACGAAGCGCAAGUGACGGUACCUGGAGAAGAAGGACCGGCCAACUACGUGCCAGCCGCCGCCGUAA
This 478-nucleotide ribosomal RNA is filed under the name uncultured bacterium. Its description in RNAcentral is "partial 16S ribosomal RNA". It matches the Rfam family "Bacterial small subunit ribosomal RNA", at positions 28 to 523 of the family's 1533-position model. The record is from RNAcentral.